UAUAAGGGAUUUUGAGUUUUUAUUUGUAAUAUUUGAUCACUCGUCUUAUUCAAAAUUUUUUAAAAUUAUUAUUUAUUUUAUUUGUGACUUACUUUAUUAUGUACAGUAUUUUAAGCAUAACUUUUCAUUUUAUAUAUUUGCAAAAAAAAAUUGAAUAAGACGAGUGGUCAAACGUUGCAAGCAAAAACUCAAAAUCCCUUAUA
Molecule: non-coding RNA, 203 nt
Organism: Oryza glaberrima (African rice)
Lineage: Eukaryota; Viridiplantae; Streptophyta; Magnoliopsida; Poales; Poaceae
Source: Rfam